This 492-nucleotide ribosomal RNA is filed under the name uncultured bacterium. RNAcentral describes it as "partial 16S ribosomal RNA". It matches the Rfam family "Bacterial small subunit ribosomal RNA", at positions 29 to 507 of the family's 1533-position model. The record is from RNAcentral.
AGUGAACGCUGGCGGUAGGCCUAACACAUGCAAGUCGAACGGCAGCACAGUAAGAGCUUGCUCUUACGGGUGGCGAGUGGCGGACGGGUGAGGAAUACAUCGGAAUCUACUUUUUCGUGGGGGAUAACGUAGGGAAACUUACGCUAAUACCGCAUACGACCUACGGGUGAAAGCAGGGGAUCUUCGGACCUUGCGCGAUUGAAUGAGCCGAUGUCGGAUUAGCUAGUUGGCGGGGUAAAGGCCCACCAAGGCGACGAUCCGUAGCUGGUCUGAGAGGAUGAUCAGCCACACUGGAACUGAGACACGGUCCAGACUCCUACGGGAGGCAGCAGUGGGGAAUAUUGGACAAUGGGCGCAAGCCUGAUCCAGCCAUACCGCGUGGGUGAAGAAGGCCUUCGGGUUGUAAAGCCCUUUUGUUGGGAAAGAAAAGCAGCAGGUUAAUACCCCGCUGUUCUGACGGUACCCGAAGAAUAAGCACCGGCUAACUUCGAG